AACUUUUUUUUUAACUCCUGCAAGGAGCUUCAAGUGCUGAAGCUUUGAGGAGCUCUAUGAAAAAUUCCAAAAGAGUGCUUCUUGCACUGCCAUUUUUGCUUUGAAUUACAUAACGUCUAUACAUUUGUGAAAGUAGCUGGAAAUUGGACUGGGAACACAAAGGGCAGGCAGUUGUAGGCACACAAUAAUUUUUCAGGGUAUUAUGGCCACAAUGAAAUUUCUACAUUCCCUGCCACACAUCAAUGGAUUUGCACAAGUCACAGAGAUGAGCAUUUUAGUCACUUGAUCUGCGGGAAUCCACGUAACUCUCACAUGCCUGAUUUGAGCAAAAAUGCACUGAACACAAGUUCUUAGACGUUGCCUUUUGCCUUGCUGGCAGUUGCCUAAGCUCAAGCAUUCUUAGGUUAGUCAUAUUCCUGAAUGAUCUGAAAGAUUAGCAUUAAAAAUUUGAAGAUGAACACAAAUGAACGCUUAUGGCGUUUUUGCACACAGGCACGAUUGUGUAAUGAUACUUUGUAUUAUGGCUAAUGACAAAACAGAAUACAGACGGCCAUAUUAAGUUUAUAGCGGGCACGGUUAAGCAUUUUAUCAUGGAGCAUCAAAUGCAAAUCCUGUGAAACAGAAACAACACUCUUGUAGUUUUACAUUGAUGUGAAAUGUGGUUGAGAUGGUAACUGAGAUCAGAACGAAGUAAACCUUAGAGCUUUUUGAUGGUUUAAUAGCACUCAGAUUUUGAGGGUAGCUACAUUUUUAUUGGUAAUCUAUUAUUUAUAUGUAUCUGUGCUGGGAUUUCUCACAGAUGGCUUUUAGUGUCUGUAAUGUUCUUUAUGCUAUAAAAUUGUCAUUUGCAUUUGUGAGACAUAUUUCUUCCUGUACACCAGUAAAAUAUUCUUUUCCACUUAAUAAAUUGUGGCAGUGGA
Thalassophryne amazonica is the source of this 920-nucleotide long non-coding RNA. RefSeq lists it as uncharacterized. The record is from RefSeq and is a predicted model, not a curated record. NCBI's taxonomy places the organism in Eukaryota, Metazoa, Chordata, Actinopteri, Batrachoidiformes, Batrachoididae. The transcript is spliced from 2 exons.